Molecule: long non-coding RNA, 473 nt
Organism: Rhipicephalus microplus (southern cattle tick)
Lineage: Eukaryota; Metazoa; Arthropoda; Arachnida; Ixodida; Ixodidae
Source: RefSeq, a predicted model, not a curated record
UGCCUAUUGGUGCCGAUAGACUGUAAGACCGCUUAAAAAAGCAUUCCAUCGAAGACUCGAGCCGAAUCUAUCCACAACCAUGAGCAGUGGCCCGCGUACACCAUUGAUACCAAAAUAUCUUGCCCUGCGUCAAGAGAUCCUGGCUGGCAAUGGUGUAAACUACAAUUUCCCACUUGGACGUUCCUACGAAUAUUCAUACCCAGGUUAUAUGGAAGUAUACGAUGGAAGUGGUUUAAGUUUUUUCGGCUACAUCAAUAACCCAUCGCCUGUAUGUGAACUUGGACUGGAAGGUUAUUAUAAUGGAAUAGUUUUAAUCAAAACAAAUUCAAGUUCAAAGUUAACCUUAAUAACCAGGCCUGACGGCGGUUCGAUUACAUACACAGGAGCAGGCAAUAAUUAUUAUCAAGGCCAACCUUUUGCGUUUAGAUUCCGUGCAGCGUACGUGAAGCGUCUAGACAAAAAUUCUGUUACGG